RNAcentral lists this transfer RNA (70 nucleotides) under Cylisticus convexus. RNAcentral describes it as "tRNA-Asn". The record is from RNAcentral. Lineage: Eukaryota; Metazoa; Arthropoda; Malacostraca; Isopoda; Cylisticidae.
GAAGGUGAAGCCAAAGCACAGAGGCGGGCCUCCGUUACAGGCUUGAUUGGGAGGGUCCUCCCUACCUUUA